AGAUGUUCUUGACUGUAGAGGAGAGGAAUCUGUAUAUAUAAAAGGAUAGUGGGCAGGGGACUGUGAAGACAGGGAUUGUGAGGGAGUAAAGAGCCCCUUCAGAAGAAGGAGGUUGCCGUUGUGUGAAUUAGAUUAGGAAACAACAUGAAUAAGAUCUGUUAACAGGAAGUGAGAGAGAGAAAAGAAAAGAAAAAGAAAAAGAGAAGGGAGGGGAGGGGAGGGGAAGAAACACAGAGGGGAAGAGCGAGUAGAAAUAAAGGAGAGGAGGAGAAAUAAAGGAGGAGAAAUAAAGAGAGAAAAAGAAGGGGGGAAGAGAGAAAGAAGGAAGGGUAAGGGAUGGGCCCAAACCUGGAAGUGGCCUGAGGGGAACAAGCGGCCAUGGCGGUGCCUAUUGGCAGCAAGGAAGGGCCAAGUCAACCACUGCUGCUGUUUGGGGCUACUAAGGCCAUUGGCAGAUGGAGGCAGGCAGGCAAGGGAUGGGCCCGGGACUGUCAGUGACCUGAGGAGGAAUUGAGGCAGCGGCGGCAGCAGUGAGGAAGGGCCCAGUUAACCGCUGCUGCUGCUGCUCCUGUGAUGAGGAACAGGACUGGGGCUCGGAUGAGGGUGGGGAGGUCUCUGGGGAUAAGGGGCUGCAAGCAACGGGAUGGAGGAGGAGGAGCAGGAGUGUGGCUCAGUCAGGAGGAGAGCGGCUGCCGCAGCAGAGAAAGGAAAGACAGCCCUAUCUUUUAGCAGCAGCAGCAGUAGCAGUCAUCUCUCGGAUUGGUCCUCUUCAUCUUGAGCUUCUCCGCCACUCAGCAACUGAGUGCAGUUGCUGAACUAAGGACAGAACUCACCUGGGAGACAGCUAAUCAAGUGGAAAGGAAAGUCAAACAAACUACCCAUGUGUGAGUGUGUGUGUGCCUGCUUCCCACAUUUAUGGAGUGAGCGUGUGUGAUAUAUAUUCUAUCCCCAAUUGAAAGUCUUCCUUUAUGUGUCUGUGUUUCCUCCCAAGCCCUUGUUUGUGCCUGAGUGAUUUUUAACUUUCACAAAAAUGAUUUUAAAUUAUUGGGUUCUUUCCUCUAAGGCCUGAUGUGAUCUUCCAUUUGGAACUUGAAAUGAGUCAUUUUCCUCUCUGUGGACAGGAAAGAGGGGGUGGUGGCAGGGAUUUCAUUGCUUGGUUCUUUUAUGGUGGUUGUUGAAAAUAUAUUCAAUUGUUUUUCAACCAGACAAGUUCUUAAAAAAAUGUUCCUUGUUCCCAGAAUGGCUCACAAUACCUGAGGGUUGGGGAAGAGUGGAGCUAGCCUAGCAUACUGGAUUGUUUGCUAAUUUUAAACUGGUGUGCCUGGAUAUCCCUUCACCUGCCUUUUCCAAAUGAAAAACAUUGGUGUUUAAAAUAAUAAUAAUCCUGCCAUGCUACAGCCUUGACAAAAAUGGUUAAGCUUGGAACAGAGGCUUCCUUUGGAACCCACAGAAGGGGAGGAGAGCUAGUCUUGUGGUAGCAAGCAUGAAUUGCCCCCUUGUAUUUCACAAAGCUGAUAGUUGUAUUAUUUGGUUCUGCUGUUGUUUACACCUUGCAACUGUAGUCUCCUGUCUUCUGUUAAUCUGCUACACUAUAUUUUCUGCAGCAGAGACAUGGGGCCAGGAGAAGGAGAGGAAGGCAGUGAGGGACCAAUUUUAAAAUCUCAUCUCUGGGUCCACGCCAACCUUGGUAUGCCCUUGCUGCAUGCAAGAGAGAUGCUCUACCAUUGAGCUGGAUAUCAGCUUAGAUGGCUAUAUAAGAGGAUUAAGACACAUUCAUGGAGAAUUAGGUAACCAGUGGCUGUUAGCAAUGAUGGCCAUAUGGAAUGUCCAUGUCCACUGAAUGCCAAUUUCUGGCAAAAAACAGCAAGAGAGGGCUACUACCUUCAAGGUCAUUCUUAGAGACCUGUACUUGGUCAACAUGGAAACCAGGAUGCUGGACUAAAUGCUACACCCAUCAGGGCAGUUCAUAUGUUCUUGAAAUCCUGCACUGACCACUUCCAUCCUGUAGCAUGUAGUGACAAUUUUGAAGCACCUGGGCCACACUGAAGGUGGCAGGAAGAGGAAGAAAGGCAACACCAGGAAAGAAGGCAUUAGUCGAGGUUCUUUGUGCAAGGUAUGGAUCAGAGGGGGCUGGCCAGGCCUCCCCAAGUACCUUAUCCAAGUUGUCCACAUCCUCAGGGUCCAACACCUGAAACACAUCCAAGUAAGAAGGAACUGAGGGGAUUUCAAACAUGGUCACUGUUGUCAAUAUGGAGUUCAAAUCAGAGUGGAUGCAAGAAAUUUGUACCUGCAAAAUGUUUAACAAUCAAAUCAUAGCAGGCAGAGCAACAAGUACGUUUCCCUGUUAUUACUAUCAAAAAAUAUACUUUAAAAUGAACUCUCACCUGCACAUUAUCAGGUUCAGCCCAAAUUUUAUUCCAUUUUCAUUCUAGCCAUUGUCUGACUAGGACCGGGAAGACCCGAGUUCGAAUCCCCAUUCAGCCAUGAAACUCACUGGGUGACUUUGGGCUGGUCAUGUAUAUCUCAGCCUAACCUACCUCACAGGGUUGUUGUGAGGAUAAAAAUAACCAUGUACACCACUCUGAGCUCCUCAGAAGAGAAGGACAUAAGCAUAAAAUAAAUAAAUAAAAUAAAUUAUACCAAGGAACUGAAUGAGCCUUACAGGAGGUUUCUUUAUUCCAAAGAACCACUCAGGUGGUGUCAGCAUCACCAGUACUGUAUUGUCCAUCAAAUCCUCAGUGACAUUCUGGAAACCAACAGGAUCUACCACUCUGUGGAUCUGAAGGACCAGCAAAUAGGCUCCCCGCCAUAGCAGGCAUCAGUUGCUAAAACUCUGAACUUCACCAGAUAACCAGGCCAAACUCUUGGGUCACUUGAAGCUCACUUUGGUCCCUUCCCACUCCUCACUCUCACCCCUCAGACUACUUACCAAGACCAGCAGGGGCAAGGAGAAAAGGCUUUGGUCUUUCUCUUUGCCCCCCACCAUGAGAGAGCAAACAGACUGGAACUGGUAGUCUUUUCCAAGGCUGCGGUCAUUGUUAGCCUAAAAAAAGACAACAGAUCUCAGGAUCACCUGUGCAUAUCCCAGGACUCCAUGGGAAAAGGUUAAAAAGUGCCAUUUUUAAAGUCAACCUAUAGGCAGCUGCUUGCUCCCUUGUACGAAUAUUGAAGCAGGCCUGAUCUUGUACCAUCUUGAAGCAGGUCUGAAAGUGUUUGAGCAAAUCGGGGGCCCUUCAGAAACUCUGAAGUGGUCCCUGAAGUGAAGAAGCACUGAUUUGCACAAGCCUAUGGUUUACAUUGCCGAUAUUCAAUAAAGGAAGGGUUUUUUAAAAAAAAGCAUAUAUUCUGGUUUCACAUUCUGUGAUAUAUGGUGCUAUCAAAACUCUCCAGUAUUUCACAUAGCAAAUUCUUGCUGCCAUUAUUACAUAUGCAAUUAAUUCUUGAUAUUGAAUUAAUAAUUUUCCUUUGGUUAAGAUGAAUUCAAUCAUCCAAAAAUCUUUGGUUUAAAAUGGUUUACAUGUUUACUUUUGCUCUAAAAAGCAUGGAAAUUGCUGGUUAAGGUGCUCAUCUUAAUUGCCAUACCAUGUAAACUGUAAAGACCUUAUAUAUUAUAUACAAUAAUAUAUAUUGUAUAUUAUACAGUAAUAUAAAUAAAAAUACCACACUUUGCCUUUGUGUUUCAGCUGGACAUUGGAUGGGGGAAGGAAGCAUUCAGAAAUUCAACAGAUGCAGCUUCCUCAAUCACUUCCUAGAGAUAGUCAAGCUACAAUAGACAUUGAUUUAAUACAGUUGAAGGAGAGGAUACUAUUCAAUACUACCAAAAAUGUUUGUUCAAAGAUUGCCCUCGCUUUCAUCUCAGCCCAGGUGGUAGUUUUGAUUCAAAUAGCAAGGGCGGAAUCACAUAAAUUAAGAAGUCAGGAAAGCUUUUGCCUAUGAAGAAGAGAGAUUUAAAGAAGGAAAGGGAAGUUGCUUGAUCAACAGAGAAGGAAAGAUCAUUCCAGGAACAAAUUAAUUAAAGUACAUCAGGAUUCUCA
Molecule: long non-coding RNA, 4034 nt
Organism: Hemicordylus capensis (graceful crag lizard)
Lineage: Eukaryota; Metazoa; Chordata; Lepidosauria; Squamata; Cordylidae
Exons: 2
Source: RefSeq, a predicted model, not a curated record